AUGUGUAUUUUAGGGUUAAUUGAUUUUACUGUGGUAUUGUUAUGUAUUGAUGAUGUGACUAUAACAACAAAACUAAACAUCCCAGAAAUACGAAAUUUGGCAACACAAUGCAAAAGGCUUGCCUCCAGGUUACAACAACACAACCACACCACAAAACCACAAUCCAGACCCACAACACUCACAACAACGCAUCAUGCGAUAACAACACAACUAAACGCCCCAGAAAUACGAAACUUGCCAACACAACACAAAAGCAUUCCCUCCCGAUUGUAACAACACAACCACACCACAAAACCACAAUCCGGAUCCACAAAACUCACAACAGUGCAUCGUGACUAUAACAAUACAACUAAACGCCCCAGAAAUACAAAACUUGCCACACAACUAAACGCCCCAGAAAUACAAAACUUGGCAACACAACACAAAAGCCUUGCCUCUCAGUUGUAACAACACAACCACACCACAAAACCAUAAUCCGGACCCACAAAACUCACAACAACGCAUUGUGACUAACAAAUACAAAAUUUGACAACACAACUCAUCCACCUCCCCAAUCCCUACAUUCACACUUGGCCUCCAAAAAAACAAUUGCAAUAAUAACAAUGACAACAACAACAACAAUAAGAAUCAACACCAUCUCAGGCAAGAAACAGCCAGGCACUGAGGCUGAGAGGCCAGUCAGUGCUACACUGGGCCUCCAAAAAAAAUACAGUAACAUCUAACUUAUCCAACCUUCAUGACCACUACAACAACAACAAUAAUAAACACCUACACAGGCAAAACCAAAAAAAAAUUAUUGUACCACAAUAAAAAUGUAAACCGCACUCAGCAGAAUCAGACAUUACAACUAACAACAAACCAAAGACAACAGGGAUCUCAAGCAAUUAUCAAUCAACACAAAAAUUGAAGAAGGUAACAGACUUCAAAUACUACUACUAAUGUGAGUAUAAAGAAGGUGGAGGUCACAGCAUAAAUACAACCUAAUGUAGACUGACCAGCACCACCAGACUAAGCCACAGCAACGCGUGGCCGGGCACAGCUAGUUUCUUUAUAUUUUUCAUUGUAUUGGUUUUUAUUACUGUAAAUGGCCAGGAGCCCAAUUUUGGGGGAAAGAUAGGACAACAAGGACAUCACCAACAGUUUCAGCUGGUACUACUGUAGCACACUCUACACUGAGCUACCUUUGGAACUACAAUGGGUCCAGUAUUUAUUUAUUUAUUUAUUUAUUUACAGUAUUUAUAUUCCGUCCUUCUCACCCUGAAGGGGACUCAGGGCGGAUCACAUUGUACACAUAUAAGGCAAACAUUCAAUGCUAUAUAACAUAGAACAGAGACAGAGACAGACACAGAGGUAAUUUAAACCUCCAGCUUCCAGCUCCCUGAGGGUAUGCUUGAUUCCGGCCACAGGGGGAGCAGCUGCUUCAUCAUCCACUGCGACGGCAACUUCCUCAUUGCAACGACGGCUAGAUGACUUUUAUGGUGUUGUAAAUUAGCCUCCCCACAUAUAAGUGGUACCUAAAUUUCCUACUUGAUAGAUGCAACUAUCUUUUGCGUUGCUUAGGUCAGCACCGAGCAGGGGCUAUAUUUUAUUUUUAAUUGUCGGGUGCUCACCCUGACAC
Long non-coding RNA from Anolis carolinensis (green anole), 1618 nucleotides. The record is from Ensembl. NCBI's taxonomy places the organism in Eukaryota, Metazoa, Chordata, Lepidosauria, Squamata, Anolidae.